CUACGGGUUGCUGCAGUGGGGAAUAUUGCACAAUGGGCGAAAGCCUGGUGCAGCAACGCCGCGUGAGGGACGACGGCCUUCGGGUUGUAAACCUCUUUUAGCAGGGAAGAAGCGAAAGUGACGGUACCUGCAGAAAAAGCACCGGCUAACUACGUGCCAGCAGCCGCGGUAAUACGUAGGGUGCAAGCGUUGUCCGGAAUUAUUGGGCGUAAAGAGCUCGUAGGCGGUUUGUCGCGUCUGCUGUGAAAAUCCGAGGCUCAACCUCGGACCUGCAGUGGGUACGGGCAAACUAGAGUGCGGUAGGGGAGAUUGGAAUUCCUGGUGUAGCGGUGGAAUGCGCAGAUAUCAGGAGGAACACCAAUGGCGAAGGCAGAUCUCUGGGCCGUAACUGACGCUGAGGAGCGAAAGCGUGGGGAGCGAACAGGAUUAGAUACCCUAGUAGUC
This 444-nucleotide ribosomal RNA is filed under the name uncultured bacterium. RNAcentral describes it as "partial 16S ribosomal RNA". It matches the Rfam family "Bacterial small subunit ribosomal RNA", at positions 339 to 795 of the family's 1533-position model. The record is from RNAcentral.